UUAAUCUCAGUCUCAUAUUCUAUGUUUAUCGGACCUCCCGGAGACAGACAGAGGGGCCCGGUCCAAGCCCUCAGACAAGGGUUGGUUCAGACAGAACCACCGGAUAACUAAACAGUGUUUCAGAGCUUGCCACUGCCAUAAACGGCUUUAAAUUACUUCCACGGGUGUCAGAAGGGUAAUCAGUGAGUGUGUGUGCAUGCCUGAAUAACAGGGUCCAAGUGGGAGGGAGUGAGCUUGUUGCCUUCUCUGGGUGAAUAUCUCACUGCCCUGGACAUGAUGGGCCCGAGGUGAAAGUUCACAAAGACGCAGCUAGCCGGUGGGGGAGCUGCCAACUCUUACAGACUGGAAGAGCCCAAGGAAUACAUCAAUGAGCUCUACCAUGAGGUCCUCUGACACAUAUUCCGAUUUCAUGAGGUUGGAAUCCAGCCUUCCCUAACCAAAGAUGGGGUGUUCUCUGCACUGAAGAUGGCUGAACUGGAGUUCCCCCAGUUUGAGACUUUGCACCUCGGAAACGUUGAUGAGUUCCUAUUGCAGUGUGAGUCAGUCAAGGUCAAAGAUGUUAGAAUGUAUAGUUACUAUUGCUGAGCGAUUAGUGCUUUUUGAGGUCGGUUUCUAUUUGAUAAAAAAUAUAUAUAUA
Long non-coding RNA from Coregonus clupeaformis (lake whitefish), 637 nucleotides. RefSeq lists it as uncharacterized. Lineage: Eukaryota; Metazoa; Chordata; Actinopteri; Salmoniformes; Salmonidae. The record is from RefSeq and is a predicted model, not a curated record. The transcript has 3 exons.